RNAcentral lists this ribosomal RNA (292 nucleotides) under uncultured bacterium. Its description in RNAcentral is "partial 16S ribosomal RNA". It matches the Rfam family "Bacterial small subunit ribosomal RNA", at positions 505 to 796 of the family's 1533-position model. The record is from RNAcentral.
GUGUCAGCAGCCGCGGUAAGACGAACCGUGCGAACGUUGUUCGGAUUCACUGGGCUUAAAGGGCGCGUAGGCGGGCGACCAAGUCAGGGGUGAAAUCUUUCGGCCCAACCGGAAAAGUGCCCCUGAUACUGGCCGCCUCGAGGGGGGUAGGGGCAUGCGGAACUUCCGGUGGAGCGGUGAAAUGCGUAGAUAUCGGAAGGAACGCCGGUGGCGAAAGCGGCGUGCUGGACCCCUUCUGACGCUGAGGCGCGAAAGCCAGGGGAGCAAACGGGAUUAGAAACCCCGGUAGUCC